UGCCCAUGUAGCUCAGUCGGCAGAGCGUCACCUUGGUAAGGUGGAGGUCACCGGUUCAAUCCCGGUCAUGGGCUCCA
This 77-nucleotide transfer RNA is filed under the name Clostridium botulinum F str. 230613. Its description in RNAcentral is "tRNA-Thr". It matches the Rfam family "tRNA". From Rfam's summary of the family: Transfer RNA (tRNA) molecules are approximately 80 nucleotides in length. Their secondary structure includes four short double-helical elements and three loops (D, anti-codon, and T loops). Lineage: Bacteria; Bacillati; Bacillota; Clostridia; Eubacteriales; Clostridiaceae. The record is from RNAcentral.